RNAcentral lists this unclassified non-coding RNA (327 nucleotides) under Hevea brasiliensis (rubber tree). Lineage: Eukaryota; Viridiplantae; Streptophyta; Magnoliopsida; Malpighiales; Euphorbiaceae. The record is from RNAcentral.
CUUGGUUCUCUGCACGAUUUUCCUGAAGGAAGCUGCUGCUGCUGGUCUCUGUCUUGCUGAAAUUGGCGAGAUGAUGAGCAGGGAUUUUCGCGCUGGGGAGGAGGAACCCAGUGAGCUUGAGGUUGUAUGUAUUGAGGCUAGGAGGUUGAUUACAGAGAGGGAGGUGUUGUCUCCCCGUACAGAUUUGGGAGAUGAGGAAUUCCAGUUUGAUAUAGACUCUGAAGAAACAGAAAUUGACUACACUCCUAAGACGACAACAGAAGACUAUUUGACUGGAACACCUUUUCAAUUUGGAACUGUGGUUGGGAAUGGUCGUUUCCCUCUUUC